This 1465-nucleotide ribosomal RNA is filed under the name Lactiplantibacillus plantarum. RNAcentral's name for it is "bacterial SSU rRNA". It matches the Rfam family "Bacterial small subunit ribosomal RNA". Lineage: Bacteria; Bacillati; Bacillota; Bacilli; Lactobacillales; Lactobacillaceae. The record is from RNAcentral.
UGCUCACGAACUCUGGUAUUGAUUGGUGCUUGCAUCAUGAUUUACAUUUGAGUGAGUGGCGAACUGGUGAGUAACACGUGGGAAACCUGCCCAGAAGCGGGGGAUAACACCUGGAAACAGAUGCUAAUACCGCAUAACAACUUGGACCGCAUGGUCCGAGUUUGAAAGAUGGCUUCGGCUAUCACUUUUGGAUGGUCCCGCGGCGUAUUAGCUAGAUGGUGGGGUAACGGCUCACCAUGGCAAUGAUACGUAGCCGACCUGAGAGGGUAAUCGGCCACAUUGGGACUGAGACACGGCCCAAACUCCUACGGGAGGCAGCAGUAGGGAAUCUUCCACAAUGGACGAAAGUCUGAUGGAGCAACGCCGCGUGAGUGAAGAAGGGUUUCGGCUCGUAAAACUCUGUUGUUAAAGAAGAACAUAUCUGAGAGUAACUGUUCAGGUAUUGACGGUAUUUAACCAGAAAGCCACGGCUAACUACGUGCCAGCAGCCGCGGUAAUACGUAGGUGGCAAGCGUUGUCCGGAUUUAUUGGGCGUAAAGCGAGCGCAGGCGGUUUUUUAAGUCUGAUGUGAAAGCCUUCGGCUCAACCGAAGAAGUGCAUCGGAAACUGGGAAACUUGAGUGCAGAAGAGGACAGUGGAACUCCAUGUGUAGCGGUGAAAUGCGUAGAUAUAUGGAAGAACACCAGUGGCGAAGGCGGCUGUCUGGUCUGUAACUGACGCUGAGGCUCGAAAGUAUGGGUAGCAAACAGGAUUAGAUACCCUGGUAGUCCAUACCGUAAACGAUGAAUGCUAAGUGUUGGAGGGUUUCCGCCCUUCAGUGCUGCAGCUAACGCAUUAAGCAUUCCGCCUGGGGAGUACGGCCGCAAGGCUGAAACUCAAAGGAAUUGACGGGGGCCCGCACAAGCGGUGGAGCAUGUGGUUUAAUUCGAAGCUACGCGAAGAACCUUACCAGGUCUUGACAUACUAUGCAAAUCUAAGAGAUUAGACGUUCCCUUCGGGGACAUGGAUACAGGUGGUGCAUGGUUGUCGUCAGCUCGUGUCGUGAGAUGUUGGGUUAAGUCCCGCAACGAGCGCAACCCUUAUUAUCAGUUGCCAGCAUUAAGUUGGGCACUCUGGUGAGACUGCCGGUGACAAACCGGAGGAAGGUGGGGAUGACGUCAAAUCAUCAUGCCCCUUAUGACCUGGGCUACACACGUGCUACAAUGGAUGGUACAACGAGUUGCGAACUCGCGAGAGUAAGCUAAUCUCUUAAAGCCAUUCUCAGUUCGGAUUGUAGGCUGCAACUCGCCUACAUGAAGUCGGAAUCGCUAGUAAUCGCGGAUCAGCAUGCCGCGGUGAAUACGUUCCCGGGCCUUGUACACACCGCCCGUCACACCAUGAGAGUUUGUAACACCCAAAGUCGGUGGGGUAACCUUUUAGGAACCAGCCGCCUAAGGUGGGACAGAUGAUUAGGGUGAAGUCGACG